Molecule: transfer RNA, 73 nt
Filed under: Chromatiales bacterium
Lineage: Bacteria; Pseudomonadati; Pseudomonadota; Gammaproteobacteria; Chromatiales
Description: tRNA-Lys
Rfam family: tRNA
About the family: Transfer RNA (tRNA) molecules are approximately 80 nucleotides in length. Their secondary structure includes four short double-helical elements and three loops (D, anti-codon, and T loops).
Source: RNAcentral
GGGCCGUUAGCUCAGUCGGUAGAGCAUCUGACUUUUAAUCAGGUGGUCGCUGGUUCGAAUCCAGCACGGCCCA